Molecule: RNA transcript, 2076 nt
Organism: Papaver somniferum (opium poppy)
Lineage: Eukaryota; Viridiplantae; Streptophyta; Magnoliopsida; Ranunculales; Papaveraceae
Exons: 6
Source: RefSeq, a predicted model, not a curated record
CUCAAGGAGAUGGAGAAAACACAUGCCAUCAUCCUCUCCGCCUCUGCUAUCACUCUUGUCUCUCUUUCUCCUUCUCCUUCUCCUUCGCCUCUGCUAUCACUCCAUUUCACUCUCUACUUAAGAAAAAAAAUCACUCACUUCUGCACCAAAACACCAUCACCAUGAGCUAAGCUUGACAGAAAAAUAUUAACACAAACCAUCUUCUCUUCAAUCAUUCUCAGAAAACCAUUUUCACUUCAAUCUUUCUCUUGAAAACCCACCACCCUUAAACCCUUCAAGAGAAAUAUUUGUCCUGUUGAAUCCCACCACUAUUUUCUCUUCAAUCUUUCUCGUGAUUGAUUUUCUACAGAAAAGUUAGGGUUUGCAAAAAAAAAAAAAAAAAAAAAAAAUCCCUUGCGCUUUGACCUAAUUCGAGAUAUGGGUUCUUAGAUUGAUGCAUAUGGCACGACUGACAUCAAUAUCUUCUUCCUUCUUUUAUUCAUAUGAGCCACUUAGGGUAAAAUACAGAUGUAUGUGCUACAAGAGGUAAAACGGGGUUUUUAUUUUGGGCCUAAUUUUGUUAAUUAAUGCUAUCAGUAUCAACGUGGUUCAAUUAAAAAGGCUGUUGCUUUAAUGAUUUGAAUUCUUGGCAUAUCAGGAAUUAAAGUUGUUCUUUUAAUGAUUUGAAUUCAUGGCAUAACGGGAAUUAAAAGUUGUUCUUUGAAUGAUUUGAAUUCAUGGCAUAAGAGGGUAUAUAUCCAAAGAGUAAAUACACUUAUUUUUAUAUAGAAAGAGUAAACAAAUACACUCAGUGAUCAUGUCAAAAAUACUUCUUAACAAAUCUCUUAAUUGCACUUGAUGAACAUGAUAGAAGAUUUUGAAGGGAACCCAUGUGAAUAAAAGCUUAAUCGGCCACAGGAUUAUGGAAACAAGGCGACGGCGAGUAACUGGCGCCAGUGUUUUAGAUCUAAAUUCGAAAGGCACCUGCAUUUGUUUAAUGGAAGUGGACGAGGAGGUUCAUAAGGUGGAUAUGAUGGAGGUUCUUACUAGUGCUGUCCUCAGGUUGAAGAAUGUUGGGUUUCUAUUGACAUUUAGCUCGUCCUUCUCCUUGCCAAGUCCGACUGACUUGCAUCUUUUCAAGGAGGGUAUUAGGCCUUUGUGGGAAGUAAGAAUUGUUACUAGUGCUGGUUAUUUCUUUACUCAUGAUGGCCAGGUCAGAUUAGAAAUGGGGAGGAUUCCAAAGUAAAGUGCAAGUGGUAAUUGUGAUUUUUUGCACGCAUGUUCAGUGUUUUAGAUCUAAAUUCGAAAGGCACCUGGAACCUGGAUUGCGUACAUUUUGCUCAAAUAUUAAAGUCGUCGAAACAUUUGUUUAAUGGAAGUGGACUAGGAGCUGCUGGAGGAGGGUGAAGGAAGAGAUUCAUCCACAUUGAGGUCGAAGCUUGAGAACCCUGUUCAGGCUCUUUCCAUUGUCGGGCUUCUUCAAGAUGAUAUUCAUCCCAUGGUGUCUGUUAUGAAGGUGGAGAAGGCACCACCUUUCAUCCUUGUGCUGGUACUGGUGAGAACUUAGAACCUAUAUACCACUAUUAACACAUCAGGAAAAACCGAAAACAAAACUGCUACAACCUAUGUAAUAUGAUUCUAGAGUAGUAGUUAGUGGUUAUCUUAGAGGUUCUAAUUUUCCUCUAUAUGCUAGCUUAUAUCCUCUCUGUCAUUCUCUAUAACUUGAACUCAUAACUGAACUAGAGAAAUAGACUGAAAUUUUCUAUCUUUUGGCUGUUCAUAUCAUUCUUCAGGAACUUAAGAAAUGUCUCCUGAAAGUUUUUCAUUAUUUAGAAACUGAACUUCAUUGGGUAUUGAUUGUAUGUUAUUGGCCUAAAUAUAGUUUUCAAAUGGGAGGCUUUGUUGUUCAGUGUGGCACUCAAUGCUGGAUUUGGCCUGGAUUUAGCCUGAAUUAGUUGUAGGGAACUCUUGACUAGGUCAACGACAAAUUGACUUGACAUAUUUUUUAUGUUGCAAAACUUUAGCAACUGCCAAGACUGUUGCUAAAUUUAGAACCAGAAUAAUAGAACCGGCCCGGCUAAGAUUAGCCGUUCUAAG